UAUCAUAUCUUGUUGUUCUCUGUUCAUGUUCUCGUUCACACAACUUCACUAUAACGAUUCUCUUUAAUCAGUUUUUUAGCUGAUUGCAUAGUUGUUCGAAUAAAUUCUCCCUUUACAGGUUACGGUUUUGUUGUCUAUUAUUUUGUCCACAAAUGCUCUUUCUUAUUUGAUUGGAUUGGAUUUAAAUUGUAAAGAUGGAUUUAUAGAGUUGAUUUAGAUAUAUAUGCUUGAUGCUUCUCUUGAAUUUGUGAAUGCAUAGUUGUUGUUAGUUAUGAACUUGAAUAUGAUUCUAAUUUGUAUUUUUCUAAAGGAACAGUCUAUGUAACCCUUUUUUCCCGUUUCUCUUAUCUCUCUUAUGCUAUGAUAUAAUUCCUUAUUAGAAUUUAAUCAUUGCAGUAGUGAUUAUGUUGAAUUUGGACAAGGAAGGACAACUCAGUUAACUAAACAAAUUUAUUCAUUGAAUUUUUACCCCAGUUUUUACAAAUUUAUAGAUUUGAAGCAGGGGGUUGGUUUAGAGAAUUUAAGAAAGUUAUUAUGUUAGAAUUGCUCAUGUUUACCCGCUCAUGUAUGGAAGCCUGAACAUCUCAUCUGCCCUCUGUCGUCCAGAACCAUGUUUGCCUUUGAUAAAGUGAUUUCAAGUUGUUGUAUCCGCAAUUUGUCGACCUACCUAAAAGGAACUCCCACCGUUUUGCUUUUGCAAACACAUGAAUUUUGGGUAAGUGUUAUGCAACAACCCUUCAUAGAAGGUGGGUACUUCAUUUCAAUUAAGUUGUUGAGUCCGGAAUUUUUAAGUCGUAAGGGCUGGAGUACCCCUUUGAUGAGAUGAUGGUUUGAGGAUGACAUGGAAUGUGGAGAAGGAGAGAGGGGGAACAAGUCCACUCGUGAUUAAAGUGUUCAAAGGAGACAUCAGAAGGAUGAUCGUCAUGUAUUAAAUGGAUAGAUGACAUAAAUCUACCAAUAACACAAGUGGCACUUCGAAUGGAUGAAUAAUGAUGAUAUUGAGGAAGAUUUUCAAGAUUUGGAAGCACAAGAUUUCCAUAUAGAUGUCCAUGGUCAUUUAAUUAUGAUGAUAUUGACGAAGAAUUUCAAGACUUGGAAGGACAAGAUUUCCAUAUAGAUGUUCAUGGUCAUUUUGAUUGUGAUCAAUUAUAGUUGACAUUAUUUAGGGCAUACAUUAAAGAUCCAAAUUAUUUAUCAUGUAAUUUUGAAAAUGUUAUUUCGAUUGAGUUUAAUGAUGAUUGACAAGUAUUUGAUUUUAUGUAAUUUAGAUUCAUAUUACAAUUUUAUAUCAAUAAAAUUUUACUAUA
Medicago truncatula (barrel medic) is the source of this 1307-nucleotide long non-coding RNA. RefSeq lists it as uncharacterized. The transcript is spliced from 4 exons. Lineage: Eukaryota; Viridiplantae; Streptophyta; Magnoliopsida; Fabales; Fabaceae. The record is from RefSeq and is a predicted model, not a curated record.